RNAcentral lists this long non-coding RNA (244 nucleotides) under Lathyrus oleraceus (garden pea). RNAcentral's name for it is "Pisum sativum (pea) long non-coding RNA (PSAT_LNC036445)". Lineage: Eukaryota; Viridiplantae; Streptophyta; Magnoliopsida; Fabales; Fabaceae. The record is from RNAcentral.
GAGGGGUCCGCAUAGCAUUUGUAUUGUGAUUUUCCUAGUAUCCUUGGCUUGCAUAAUUUUUUUUAUAAAAGUAAAAAUAAAAUAAAACAAAAAUAUUAGACCAAUAAAUAAAUAAAUAAUUGAAAAAUUAAAAUGCAAAUAAAACAAACAUAAGACAUAUAUAGAUAAAAAUAGAAAUAUCGAUGUAUAGAUGUAGUUUAUAUAAUAUUCCAAAUGCGAUAAUAUAAGAUGGGUUAUGUAAAUA